ACUUGUUAGUUGCCAUCAUUCAGUUGGGCACUCUAGCGAGACUGCCGGUAUAAACCGGAGGAAGUGGGGGAUGACGUCAAAUCAUCAUGCCCUUAUGACCUGGGCUACACACGUGCUACAAUGGUUGGUACAACGAGUUGCGAGUCGGUGACGGCGAGCUAAUCUCUUAAAGCCAAUCUCAGUUCGGAUUGUAGGCUGCAACUCGCCUACAUGAAGUCGGAAUCGCUAGUAAUCGCGGAUCAGCACGCCGCGGUGAAUACGUUCCCGGGCCUU
RNAcentral lists this ribosomal RNA (273 nucleotides) under uncultured Streptococcus sp. Its description in RNAcentral is "partial 16S ribosomal RNA". It matches the Rfam family "Bacterial small subunit ribosomal RNA", at positions 1106 to 1382 of the family's 1533-position model. Lineage: Bacteria; Bacillati; Bacillota; Bacilli; Lactobacillales; Streptococcaceae. The record is from RNAcentral.